Molecule: ribosomal RNA, 373 nt
Filed under: uncultured Desulfobulbus sp.
Lineage: Bacteria; Pseudomonadati; Thermodesulfobacteriota; Desulfobulbia; Desulfobulbales; Desulfobulbaceae
Description: bacterial SSU rRNA
Rfam family: Bacterial small subunit ribosomal RNA
Source: RNAcentral
UUGGUGCCUUCGGGAACGUCUGACACAGGUGCUGCAUGGCUGUCGUCAGCUCGUGUCGUGAGAUGUUGGGUUAAGUCCCGUAACGAGCGCAACCCUUGUCCUUAGUUACCAGCACGUUAUGGUGGGCACUCUAAGGAGACUGCCGGUGACAAACCGGAGGAAGGUGGGGAUGACGUCAAGUCCUCAUGGCCUUUAUGACCAGGGCUACACACGUACUACAAUGGCCGAUACAAAGGGCAGCGACACUGCGAGGUGAAGCCAAUCCCGUAAAAUCGGUCUCAGUCCGGAUUGGAGUCUGCAACUCGACUCCAUGAAGUUGGAAUCGCUAGUAAUCGUGGAUCAGCAUGCCACGGUGAAUACGUUCCCGGGCCUU